Molecule: long non-coding RNA, 2104 nt
Organism: Anthonomus grandis grandis
Lineage: Eukaryota; Metazoa; Arthropoda; Insecta; Coleoptera; Curculionidae
Exons: 4
Source: RefSeq, a predicted model, not a curated record
UAAAGUCAUGAGGGAUGUCAGAUGCAAUCUUCUUUCCCCAACAUUUAAAAUUAACGUAUUUCCAAACUGAUAAGCGUAUUGUUAAUUUUUUAAAUUAAAUAAUUUUUUAUAAUCUAUAUUUUAUAAUAUAUCUCUCAACACUAGUCAGUUAACGCAUCAACUUCUGUAAUUCUGCAAAUUACUUCAAUUCCCAAGAUGGUUGCCUCCGUCUUUGUCAACAACGUCAAUAAAGCGAUCAGCGGGAAUUUCUGUCUGUUCAUUAGGCAUCACUCAUUUCUCUAUAUUUGUGUUCUGUGCCCGAAUAGAAAGGUAACACUUAUGGAAGGCGGUGGUUCCAUCGUUUUAGUUUUGCGGUCAGUCACUAGAUGGCGACUUCGAUGAAUCAAGUAUUUUUGCUUGUUUAAUGUUUACGUUAGACAGCGCCCUGAUGUCGGUCGAUAUGAGUGUUCGGGUUUUUCCCGCAUAUCCAACCAUACUUUUUUCCCAGACUCUUUCUAGCUAUAUAUUUGUGUUGUGUGCUUUCUAGUCUGUAUUGAGUAUUCUGAGUUUGUUGAUUUAUGUAUUGUGUAUUGAUUAAAGUUACCUAAAAAUGGAUAAUUUAAAACCUUUAAAGCAACAAUAUUGUCUACUUAUGUGCGACACAAAUUUGGUAGCCGAAUUUAGUUUCCAAAAGAAGAAAAGGAAAAAAUUAAACAUUGGUUAAAGAAAGGAUUAUUACUUCCCUUCUUCCCUACAUAACUUCAGUCUUGAGGAUAUUUAUAAAACCUACAGAGUGUGCUUAACAUUUUCCUGAGAAUUUUAUUGUUUGUGACAUAAAAACCAGGAGAGCCGGAGAGGUGUUACAUGGAAAUCAUGGACUGCAAUAUCUAUGUUGUUUUUACCAAAACUGAAACCUGAGUCACAACCCGAGACCUUAACACCUAAGAUGAGACAUGAAUUAUCAGAUGAACAUCAUCAACCACCCACAAAAAAGCAAAAACCAGAUAACACUGCUUCUACAUCCUAGAAUUGCCUACCCAACAAGAAAAGCUUUAAAAGUCCAAAUAAUAUUAUAACACUACCAGGCAAUUUAUUUGAUAACACAAUGAAAACUCCCAUGAAGAAAUACUUCUUGUGCCUGAUACCAUUGCUUCAAGUGAUUGCAAGAAACGAAUCAUAGAAUCGGCUAAAAGACUAGGGAGGGUCAGUAGAAGGCUGACAAAUUUUAUAUAUAGACUUGCCGCAGCUGAAAAACUUGCAGCUUCAUCAAAAUUCCAAAAUCUCAUUGACCAUGUCAACUUAUUAACAUACAAUUAUUUUAAGUCAGAUUAAUAUGCAAAAUAAAAGCCCAAAAACAAGGAGAUUUACUUUAAAUGACAAAUUAUUGGCUGUUUUCUUGCUCAAAGCUAGCGGUAGGGGUUUUUAAUUAUUGGCAAUUGUGCUAAACGCACCCUUAUUAAUCUACUAAGCAGAAUAUCAUUAAAAGUUGGCCUAAAUAAAGACAUUUUUAUUAGUUUAAAGAAAAUGGUUUUAAGAAUGAAGUAAAUUGAUAGGCAGGCAAUACUAAUAUUAGAUGAAAUGUCUGUUGAAAGUUCCCUUCACUAUAAUAAUAAAGAUGAUGAAAUUACUGGCUUUCAGGAUUUUGGAUCUGGCAACAGAAGACCGAAGAUUGCUAAUCACGCAAAGGUAUUCAUGCUUAAAGGAGCAUUUCAACAAUGGAAGCAACCUAUUUGUUAAACUUUUACUGGAGGUCCUAUGGAUCCUGGAAAGCAAAAAUUUAAUUAAAAAUAUAAUUAAAGAAUGUCAGGGAAUUGGCCUCAAAAGGCAAUAAAAGACCUUAUUACUGAAACAACACAGAACACAGGUUUCAAGGAUUUUUAAUAAAUGAUAAGGAAAUUGUCCCACUUUUUGAUAAGCCUCAUUUAUUUAAAGGUUUAAAAAAUAAUCUUUGCAAAAUGGUGACAUAUAGAGCAAUUCUAUUAUCUGGAUUUAGAAGAUAUUGUUAGAAUGUGUCCAAAAUUAAUUGACCACCAUGUUGUAAAACAUAAAAUCAAUAAAAUGAAGGUUAAAUGUUGCACCCAAAUAUUUAGCAAUCAAGUUGGAGCCUUAAUGAAAAGAAUUGUUG